Molecule: long non-coding RNA, 37328 nt
Filed under: Triticum aestivum (bread wheat)
Lineage: Eukaryota; Viridiplantae; Streptophyta; Magnoliopsida; Poales; Poaceae
Description: long non-coding RNA (TAES_LNC018848)
Source: RNAcentral
UGCCACCGAACACAACAUGCCAAAUUUUGAUUUUGAGAAGCAUCCAAACACUUCCACACAAGCAAAUGCCAAUUGUGAAAGAGAUCAUGCCAUGGCAGCUAUAAAUAGGCCCGUAGCAUGACGAUCAUCCUUCCUCAUCCAUCAUUCUCAUAAGUAGAGCGCAUCAUUUAAGCCAAGCAAGCAGUGCUCAAUACAAAUCCACCAUGAAGACCUUUCUCAUCCUUGCCCUCCUUGCUAUUGUGGCGACCACCGCCACAACUGCAGUUAGAGUUCCAGUGCCACAAUUGCAGCUACAAAAUCCAUCUCAGCAACAGCCACAAGAGCAAGUUCCAUUGGUACAAGAACAACAAUUUCCAGGGCAGCAACAACCAUUUCCACCACAACAGCCAUAUCCGCAGCCGCAACCAUUUCCAUCACAACAACCAUAUCUGCAGCUGCAACCAUUUCCACAGCCGCAACUACCAUAUCCGCAGCCGCAACCAUUUCGACCACAACAACCAUAUCCACAGCCGCAACCACAGUAUUCGCAACCACAACAACCAAUUUCGCAGCAGCAGCAGCAGCAGCAGCAACAACAACAACAACAACAACAAAUCCUACAACAAAUUUUGCAACAACAACUGAUUCCAUGCAGGGAUGUUGUAUUGCAACAACACAACAUAGCGCAUGGAAGCUCACAAGUUUUGCAAGAAAGUACUUACCAGCUGGUGCAACAAUUGUGUUGUCAGCAGCUGUGGCAGAUCCCCGAGCAGUCGCGGUGCCAAGCCAUCCACAAUGUUGUUCAUGCUAUUAUUCUGCAUCAACAACACCACCACCACCAACAACAACAACAACAACAACAACAACAACCGUUGAGCCAAGUCUCCUUCCAACAGCCUCAGCAACAAUAUCCAUCAGGCCAGGGCUUCUUCCAACCAUCUCAGCAAAACCCACAGGCCCAGGGCUCUUUCCAGCCUCAACAACUGCCCCAGUUUGAGGCAAUAAGGAACCUAGCGCUACAGACGCUACCUGCAAUGUGCAAUGUGUAUAUCCCUCCAUAUUGCACCAUUGCUCCAUUUGGCAUCUUCGGUACUAACUGAGAAGAGAAGAACUCUAGUAGUAGAUAUAUGAUACACCGUUUUCUUAGUCCAUGGUUUGGUCGUUGUAGCGGUGAAAAAAUAAAGUGACAUGCACUAUCAUGUAAGAACCUGAACUAUACUAGUUCAAACUUGGGAAUAAAAGACAAACACAGGUCUUGUCUACAUAUGAUUGUUUGUUUGAGUUCCACUCAUGUGCCCAUUCACAAGUUCACCCCUAAUUAUAUAUAUUAUGCAUUAAGUAGAUAUUUAUGUUGCAUUAAUCUAAAGAUAACAAAAUGAGUCUGAAAUUUGAAUUAAAUUGAAGUAUUUCCUUGGACUUUCAAAUGGAGUAUUAUUAAAGUAGUAAGGACUAUCCACAUCCUUGGCUUGCCCUUGAUCAAUUAUUUGCUGAGAAGCAUUCAAUUCGUCAAUCAAUUACAUUGAUUUUUGUGGCUGGUACUUCUCCUCAACAUGAGUAUAUUCAUCGUGGCUACUCCAAAUCGGCAUGAAUGAGGUACCGGUGCUCUGGAGCACUAGUACCUAACAGCUUCUCAUGUGAAGGGGUGCGGGCACGGGAGAGGUGUUUUUGGUGGGUCAAGGGAGUAAGAAGCGGCCGUGGCAGCGGUCCAGACGCCCACAAAGCCUCGUAGUUUGUUUUUGGUUUACAGGAAAAUGCACAUCCAGACUGGCCUGCGGGCCGAUAUAGGACCGUAUUGGAUGGCAAAACAUGUCCAGAUGGUUGUGAGCGGUUUGAGGGUUAGCUUUUGUAACGCCCGGUUAGUUAUGCUAUGGUAGUUCCCUGCUAAUGAUGUCACGUCACCACGAUUACUGUUGUUAACCUCACAAUGAUUCAAUCCCAUUCAAAUCCAAAUUUAAAAUAAAGGCAAACAUCAAAAGUUUCAAACAUUAAAACUAAAAUCUUCGAGAGGUGAAAAAUAAUGCAUAAGUAAUUAUGGUGGAGAAACCACACUUUUAUAAAAUGUUUAAAUACUCUAAAAGGAAUAAAACAGUGGCUUAAACUAUUAUUUAAAUGCUUUUAAAAUAGUAAAAAUGUUCUAACUAAAUUAAUUGGGUACCAAACUUUUGGUGGCAGUGGUAUAUUUAGUAGAAAAAAUUUAGAUGCUAAUUAUAUAAUUUACAAAAUUAAAGUAAAUUAAAAAAUAGGAUAAAACAUAAAAGGAAAGACAAAACAAAUAAAAGCAAAAGGGGGCAACCCCUCACUGAGCCUCGGCCUAGCUGGCCACUAGGCUAGCUAGGCCGGCCCAGCCGCCUCCCUUAACCCCCCACUCCCCAUCGAACAAUAGCCCGAUCGCCCCACUUCCCCCACACCCCCUCGUCAGCCUCCCCACCUCUCGAUCCCAUCUGGAUCGGGGAGGGGAUCGCCCCCAUCGACCCCGUCGCCAUCGCCGGAUCACCCGCUCGCCCAUCGCCCGCCGGCGUCGCCGGGCCUCCUCCCCGCCGCCCGUCUCCGGCUCUCCUCCCCUCUCGCUCCUCUUCCCCGACCCGAUAUGGAUCGAGAAGGGGCAAUGAGCCCGACGCCCCCCUCCACCGACGUUGUGCGCCAGCACCGCCACCCGAAGACCUCGUCGUCGCCGGACCUCGCGUCGCCUCCUCGUAUCUCUCCCCGACUCGCCUCCUCAAGCCACGCCGACCCCCUUCUCGGCAACGCUGUGAGCCGCCCCCGUUUCCCUCCUUCUCUUUCCACCGUGUUUGAUAAGUCUCCAACGUAUCUAUAAUUUUUGAUUGUUCCAUGCUAUAUUAUAUUCUGUUUUGGAUGAUUAAUGGGAUUUAUUAUACACUUUUAUAUUAUUUUUGGGACUAACCUAUUAACCGGAGGCCCAGCCCAAAUUGCUGUUUUUUUGCCUAUUUCAGUGUUUCGCAGAAAAAGAAUAUCAAACGGAGUCCAAACGGAAUGAAACCUUCGGGAAUGUGAUUUUCGGAACAAACGUGAUCCAGAGGACUUGGAGUGGACGUCAAGCAACAGACGAGGAAGCCACGAGGUAGGGGCGCGCCUACCCUCCUGGGCGCGCCCUCCACCCUCAUGGGCCCCUCGUGGCUCCACUGACCUACUUCUUCCUCCUAUAUAUACCUACGUACCCCCAAACCAUCAGAAGCGACCACAAAAACCUAAUUCCACCGCCGCAACCUUCUGUACCCGUGAGAUCCCAUCUUAGGGCCUUUUCCGGCGUCCUGCCGGAGGGGGCAUUGAUCACGGAGGGCUUCUACAUCAACACCAUAGCCUCUCCGAUGAUGUGUGAGUAGUUUACCUCAGACCUUCGGGUCCAUAGUUAUUAGCUAGAUGGCUUCUUCUCUCUCUUUGGAUCUCAAUACAAAGUUCUCCUCGUUUCUCUUGGAGAUCUAUUUGAUGUAACUCUUCUUUUUGCGGUGUGUUUGUCGAGAUCCGAUGAAUUGUGGGUUUAUGAUCAAGAUUAUCUAUGAACAAUAUUUGAAUCUCCUCUGAAUUCUUUUAUGUAUGAUUGGUUAUCUUUGCAAGUCUCUUCGAAUUAUCAGUUUGGUUUGGCCUACUAGAUUGAUCUUUCUUGCAAUGGGAGAAGUGCUUAGCUUUGGGUUCAAUCCUGCGGUGUCCUUUCCCAGUGACAGCAGGGGCAGCAAGGCACGUAUUGUAUUGUUGCCAUCGAGGAUAAAAAGAUGGGGUUUAUAUCAUGUUGCAUGAGUUUAUCCCUCUACAUCAUGUCAUCUUGCUUAAAGCGUUACUCUGUUUUUAUGAACUUAAUACUCUAGAUGCAUGCUGGAUAGCGGUCGAUGUGUGGAGUAAUAGUAGUAGAUGCAGAAUCGUUUUGGUCUACUUGUCACGGACGUGAUGCCUAUAUACAUGAUCAUACCUAGAUAUUCUCAUAACUAUGCUCAAUUCUAUCAAUUGCUCGACAGUAAUUCGUUUACCCACCAUAAUACUUAUGCUCUUGAGAGAAGCCACUAGUGAAACCUAUGGCCCCCGGGUCUAUUUUCCAUCAUAUUAAUCUUCCGUCAACAAGCUAUUUCUAUCUUUAUUUACCUUGUAAUCUUUACUUUUACUCUUUAUCAUAAAAAUACCAAAAAUAUUAUCUUAUCAUCUCUAUCAGAUCUCACUCUCGUAAGUGACCGUGAAGGGAUUGACAACCCCUUUAUCGCGUUGGUUGCGAGGUUCUUAUUUGUUUGUGUAGGUGCGUGGGACUUGAGUGUGGCCUCCUACUGGAUUGAUACCUUGGUUCUCAAAAACUGAGGAAAAUACUUACGCUACUUUACUGCAUCACCCUUUCCUCUUCAAGGGAAAACCAACGCAGUGCUCAAGAGGUAGCAAGAAGGAUUUCUAGCACCGUUGCCGGGGAGUCUACGCACAAGUCAAGACAUACCAAGUACCCGUCACAAACUCUUAUCCCUCGCAUUACAUUAUUUGCCAUUUGCCUCUCGUUUUCCUCUCCCCCACUUCACCCUUGCCGUUUUAUUCGCCUCCUUUUCGUUUGCUUCUUGUUUGCUCGUGUGUUGGAUUGCUUGUUUGUCGCGAUGGCUCUACCUAGAUUUGGUGAUCUUCCAUUAAAAGGUUAGAAGAGAUUGAAAGCAACGUCAGAAGUUUCAUGACUUUACAAUUUGAGCAUAACAAUUUCUUUAGAAACGAGCUUAAGGAACAAAAAAGCUUUAUGGGUUACAUGAAUAAAGAGCUCGACGAUAUGUCUAAGGAAUUUUAUGGUCUAAAAUCUUAGAUUUCUCAUCUCGAAAAAUUAAUUGCUGAAAUUUCGGAUAAGCAGGCCACCUUAGUUAAUAAGAUGGCCGCUAAACCGGUAAUUUUUUAUGAGAAUAAAGAUGAAGAUCUAAAAGUUAUUGAUGUGUCCCCUAUUAAAUCUUAGUUUUGCAAUAUGAAUCUUGAUAAUGAUGGGACUGGAGAUGAGUCAACUUUAGUUAAAAGGCGUCCCAAAAAUUCGGAGUUUUUAGAUCUUGAUGCAAAAUUUGGUAAAAGUGGGAUUGAAGAGGUCAAAACUUUAGAUAUCAAUGAACCCACUAUCUUGGAUUUCAAGGAAUUUAAUUAUGAUAAUUGCUCUUUGAUAUAUUUUAUUUCCUUGUUGCAAUCCGUGUUAAAUUCUCCUCAUGCUUAUAGUCAAAAUAAAGCUUUUACUAAACAUAUCGUUGUUGCUUUGAUGCAAUCUUAUGAAGAAAAACUUGAGUUGGAAGUUUCUAUCCCUAGAAAACUUUAUGAUGAAUGGGAACCUACAAUUAAAAUUAAAAUUAAAGAUCAUGAAUGCUAUGCUUUGUGUGAUUUGGGUGCUAGUGUUUCCACGAUCCCAAAAACUUUGUGUGAUUUGCUAGGUUUCCGUGAAUUUGAUGAUUGUUCUCUAAAUUUGCAUCUUGCGGAUUCCACCAUCAAGAAACCUAUGGGAAGAAUUAAUGAUGUUAUUAUUGUUUCAAAUAGGAACUAUGUGCCCGUAGAUUUUAUUGUUCUUGAUAUAGAUUACAAUCCUUCAUGUCCUAUUAUUUUUGGUAGACCUUUCCUUAGAACGAUUGGUGCAAUUAUUGAUAUGAAAGAAGGAAAUAUUAGAUUCCAAUUUCCGUUAAGGAAAGGUAUGGAACACUUUCCUAGAAAGAAAAUAAAAUUACCUUAUGAAUCUAUUAUGAGAGCUACUUAUGGAUUGCCUACCAAAGAUGGCAAUACCUAGAUCUAUCCUCGCUUUUAUGCCUAGCUAGGGGCGUUAAAUGGUAGCGCUUGUUGGGAGGCAACCCAAAUUUUAUUUUAGUUUUUUUGCUUUUUUGCUUCUGUUUAGGAAUAAAUCUUUGAUCUAGACUCUGGUUAGACUUGUUUUUAUGUUUUAAUUAGUGUUUGUGCCAAGUUAAACCUAUAGGAUCUUCUUGGAUGAUAGUUAUUUGAUCUUGCUGAAAAUUCCAGAAACUUUCUGUUCACGAAAACAAUUGUUAAAAAUCACCAGAACGUGAUAAAAUACUGAUUCUAAUUGCAGUAGAUCAAUAAACAAAUUAUCUAGGUCUUCCUAUUUUGGUAGAUUUUUCUGAGUUACAUAAGUUUGUGUUAGUUACAGAUUACUACAGACUGUUCUGUUUUUGACAGAUUCUGUUCUUCGUGUGUUGUUUGCUUAUUUUGAUGAAUCUAUGGCUAGUAAAAUAGUUUAUAAACCAUAGAUAAGUUGGAAUACAUUAGGUUUAACACCAAUAUAAAUAAAGAAUGAGUUCAAUACAGUACCUUGAAGUGGUGUUUUGUUUUCUUUCGCUAACGGAGCUCACGAGAUUUUCUGUUAAGUUUUGUGUUGUGAAGUUUUCAAGUUUUGGGUAAAGAUUUGAUGGAUUAUGGAACAAGGAGUGGCAAGAGCCUAAGCUUGGGGACGCCCAAGGCACCCCAAGGUAAAUCUAAGGACACCAAAAAUCCAAAGCUUGGGGAUGCCCCGGAAGGUAUCCACUCUUUCGUCUUCGUCCAUCGGUAACUUUACUUGGAGCUAUAUUUUUAUUCACCACAUGAUAAGUGUUUUGCUUGGAGCGUCUUGUAUGAUUUGAGUAUUUGCUUUUUAGUUUACCACAUUCAUACUUGCUGUACACACCUUUUGAGAGAGACACACAUGAUUCAGAAUUUAUUAGAAUACUCUAUGUGCUUCACUUAUAUCUUUUGAGCUAUAUAGUUUUUGCUCUAGUGCUUCACUUAUAUCUUUUAGAGCACGGUGGUGGUUUUGUUUUAUAGAAACUAUUUUUCUCUCAUGCUUCACUUAUAUCAUUUUGAGAGUCCUACAUAACAGCAUGGUAAUUUGCUUAAAUUGAGAAAUUAGUCCUAAUAUGAUAGGCAUCCAAGAUUAGUAAAAACUUUCUUAUAAGUGCGUUGAAUACUAAGAAAAGUUUGAUGCUUGAUGAUUGUUUUGAGAUAUGGAGGUAGUGAUAUUAAAGUUGUGCUAGUUGAGUAGUUUUGAAUUUGAGAAAUACUUGCGUUGAAGUUUGCAAGUCCCGUAGCAUGCACGUAUGGUAAACGUUGUGUAACAAAUUUGAAACAUGAGGUGUUCUUUGAUUGUCCUCCUUAUGAGUGGCGGUCGGGGACGAGUGAUGGUCUUUUCCUACCAAUCUAUCCCCCUAGGAGCAUGCGCGUAGUGCUUGGUUUUUGAUGACUUGUAGAUUUUUGCAAUAAGUAUGUGAGUUCUUUAUGACUAAUGUUGAGUCCAUGGAUUAUACGCACUCUCACCCUUCCAUCAUUGCUAGCAUCUUCGGUACCGUGCAUUGCCCUUUCUCACCUUGAGAGUUGGUGCAAAUUUCGCCGGUGCAUCCAGACCCCGUGAUACGAUACGCUCUGUCACACAUAAACCUCCUUAUAUCUUCCUCAAAACAGCCACCAUACCUACCUGUUAUGGCAUUUCCAUAGCCAUUCCGAGAUAUAUUGUCAUGCAACUUUCCACCGUUCCGUUUAUCAUGACACGUUUCAACAUUGUCAUAUUGCCUUGCAUGAUCAUGUAGUUGACAUCGUAUUUGUGGCAAAGCCACCGUUCAUAAUUUUUCAUACAUGUCACUCUUGAUUCAUUGCCCAUCCCGGUACACCGCCGGAGGCAUUCAUAUAGAGUCAUACUUUGUUCUAGUAUCGAGUUGUAAUCAUUGAGUUAUAAAUAAAUAGAAGUGUGAUGAUCAUCAUUCAUAGAGCAUUGUCCCAAAAAAAGGAGAAAGGCCAAAUGAAAAAAAGGCCCAAAAAAAGGGGCAAUGUUACUAUCCUUUUUCCAUACUUGUGCUUCAAAGUAGCACCAUGGUCUUUAUGAUAGAGAGUCUCUUGUUUUGUCACUUUCAUAUACUAGUGGGAAUUUUUCAUUAUAGAACUUGGCUUGUAUAUUCCCACAAUGGGCUUCCUCAAAUGCCCUAGGUCUUCGUGAGCAAGCAAGUUGGAUGCACACCCACUUAGUUUCUUUUGUUGAGCUUUCAUGCAUUUAUAGCUCUAGUGCAUCCGUUGCAUGGCAAUCCCUACUCCUUGCAUUGACAUCAAUCGAUGGGCAUCUCCCUAGCUCGUUGAUUAGCCGCGUCAAUGUGAGACUUUCUUUUCUUUUUUUCUUCUCCACAUAACCCCCAUCAUCAUAUUAUAUUCCACCCAUAGUGUUAUAUCCAUGGCUCACGCUCAUAUAUUGCGUGAAAGUUGAAUUUUUUUUGAGAUUACUAAAGUAUGAAACAAUUGCUUGGCUUGUAAUCGGGGUUGUGCAUGAUGAGAGCAUUCUUGUGUGACGAAAAUGGGGCAUGACCAAACUAUAUGAUUUUGUAGGGAUGAACUUUCUUUGGCCAUGUUAUUUUGAGAAGACAUAAUUGCUUAGUUAGUAUGCUUGAAGUAUUAUUACUUUUAUGUCAAUAUUAAACUUUUAUCUUGAAUCUUUCGGAUCUGAAUAUUCAUACCACAAAUAAGAGAAUUACAUUGAAAAUUAUGCUAAGUAGCAUUCCACAUCAAAAAUUCUGUUUUUAUCAUUUACCUACUCGAGGACGAGCAGGAAUUAAGCUUGGGGAUGCUUGAUACGUCUCCAACGUAUCUAUAAUUUUUGAUUGUUCCAUGCUAUAUUAUAUUCUGUUUUGGAUGAUUAAUGGGCUUUAUUAUACACUUUUAUUAUUUUUGGGACUAACCUAUUAACCGGAGGCCCAGCCCAAAUUGUUGUAUUUUUUGCCUAUUUUAGUGUUUCGCAGAAAAAGAAAAUCAAACGGAGUCCAAACGGAAUGAAACCUUCGGGAACGUGAUUUUCGGAACAAAUGUGAUCCAGAGGACUUGGAGUGGACGUCAAGGAACAGACGAGGAAGCCAUGAGGUAGGGGGGCGCGCCUACCCCCUGGGCGCGCCCUCCACCCUCGUGGCUCCACCGACCUACUUCUUCCUCCUAUAUAUACCUACGUACCCCCAAACCAUCAGAAGCGACCAUGAAAACCUAAUUCCACCACCGCAACCUUCUAUACCCCUGAGAUCCCAUCUUGGGGCCUUUUCCGGCGUCCUGCCGGAGGGGGCAUUGAUCACGGAGGGCUUCUACAUCAACACCAUAGCCUCUCCGAUGAUGUGUGAGUAGUUUACCUCAGACCUUCGGGUCCAUAGUUAUUAGCUAGAUGGCUUCUUCUCUCUCUUUGGGUCUCAAUACAAAGUUCUCCUCGUUUCUCUUGGAGAUCUAUUUGAUGUAACUCUUCUUUUUGCGGUGUGUUUGUCGAGAUCCGAUGAAUUGUGGGUUUAUGAUCAAGAUUAUCUAUGAACAAUAUGUGAAUCUCCUAUGAAUUCUUUUAUGUAUGAUUGGUUAUCUUUGCAAGUCUCUUCGAAUUAUCAGUUUGGUUUGGCCUACUAGAUUGAUAUUUCUUGCAAUGGGAAAAGUGCUUAGCUUUGGGUUCAAUCUUGCGGUGUCCUUUCCCAGUGACAGCAGGGGCAGCACGGCACAUAUUGUAUUGUUGCCAUCGAGGGUAAAAAGAUGGGGUUUAUAUCAUAUUGCAUUAGUUUAUCCCUCUACAUCAUGUCAUCUUGCUUAAAGCGUUACUCUGUUCUUACGAACUUAAUGCUCUAGAUGCAUGCUGGAUAGCGGUCGAUGUGUGGAGUAAUAGUAGUAGAUGCAGAAUCGUUUCGGUCUACUUGUCACGGACGUGAUGCCUAUAUACAUGAUCAUACCUAGAUAUUCUCAUAACUAUACUCAAUUCUAUCAAUUGCUCGACAGUAAUUCGUUUACCCACCGUAAUACUUAUGCUCUUGAGAGAAGCCACUAUUGAAACCUAUGGCCCCCGGGUCUAUUUUCCAUCAUAUUAAUCUUCCGUCAACAAGCUAUUUCUAUCUUUAUUUACCUUGCAAUCUUUACUUUUACUCUUUAUCAUAAAAAUACCAAAAAAAAUUAUCUUAUCAUCUCUAUCAGAUCUCACUCUCGUAAGUGACCGUGAAGGGAUUGACAACCCCUUUAUCGCGUUGGUUGCGAGGUUCUUAUAUAUUUGUGUAGGUGCGUGGGACUUGAGUGUGGCCUCCUACUGGAUUGAUACCUUGGUUCUCAAAAACUGAGGGAAAUAAUUACACUACUUUACUGCAUCACCCUUUCCUCUUUAAGGGAAAACCAACGCAGUGCUCAAGAGGUAGCAGUGUUCACCGCGCCGCCCGCCGUGCCCCUCGCCGCGCGCACGCCCACCACCGCGCCAGCCCCCGCUCAGCGCCCUCUCCUGCACGCUUGUGCGCGCAUGACCCUAGCCACGCCCGCGCCGUGAUCCCCUUGUUCGGCCCGCCUUCGUCCCGCGCUCGCCGCGGCCCCCAUGCUCCCCCGUGCCAUCUUCUAGGGGCGUCGGCUGCCCCUGUCCCGCUGCUCGCUGCCACGCCUCGCCCGCCCGCGCCUCGCCACCGCUCUACUGCUACGCUAAUAUUGCGCUGUGGCCGCCGCCGCUUCCCGCUGCUCUGCCAGCGCCGAAGCUCCCGGUUGGCUCCGCCGCUGCUCACGUUUUACCGCCCCUAAACGGCCUACCCCCCCCCUCGCUAAUGAACCCCCACUGACCCGCUGACACCGGGACCCACAUCCCCUAAUUAACCAUUUAAUAAAUUAAAAAUCUUAAAUUAACAUUAGUGUAUGACAUGUGGGUCCCCUAUUAAUUAAACUGAUUUAAUUAAAAUCUAUUAACAUUGAGUCUGUGACAUAUGGGCCCCACUAAACAUUUGACCAGUCAACGGUCUAGUCAAAUGCUGACCGGACAGUUGACCAGAGGGCCCCACCAGUCAGCCUCUGUGCUGUUCUGCUGGGUACCUUUCUAAGUACACCUAGCAUUUUGCAUUUACAAUAUUUGUUUUAAAAUAAAUUAGAAUAAUUUCAAAAAAAGAUUAAAACUUUUAAAAUUAAAAUAAAAUAAUCCGUAACUCGGAUGAAAUUACUUUAUACAUGCAAGUUGCUCAAAAAACGAGACGAAUCCGAAUACACAGUCCGUUCGUCUGCCACACGUCCCUAGCAUAGCAAACAUGCAACCAUCCCCCUCCGGUUCGACUGUCCGAAAAUGUCAGACACGGGAAAUACUUUUCCGGAUUUUCCCCUUCACCAUUAGCACCUAGUACCGCGUGAGGGCAUACCUAGCACCACUUAUUGUAAUGUCAUGCAUCGUCAUGCAUCUGUUUGCAUUGUAUUCAUUGUUUCUUCCUCCUCUUCUCUCCGGUAGACUACGAGACCGACGUCGGUGCUGCCCCGGUCGACUACGGUGUCCAUGACCCCUCCUUGUAAGCAGAGCUUCCAGGCAAGCAAACCCCCUUGAUCAUCCCGAUAUCGCCUACUCUUUCCCUCUACUGCUUGCAUUAGAGUAUUGUUACUGUUUGUCGGUUUGAUCCUAUACUGCUGCAUGGCUUGUCUUUGAUACUACUUAUGUGUUAUUUGUGUAGAUUUGUCAAGGAAAAAUGAGUCUAUAGCCUAAUAAAUGAAGUGUUGCAUGUUACCACACAUAUGUUAAUCCCCACUAUAGAGUUAGUAACAUAGACUAGUAACAUGUGCAUGUUACUACCCAUUGUGGCCAGUCUAUGUUACCACUUUCCUCUCUUUCUUCAUUUAUUGCUUGCCACAUCAUCUAUUUUAUCUAGGUAUGUGUGAUAUUACUACCUAUGUUACUCCCACUGUGGGUAGUCUAAGCAGGCUAUAAGGAAUAGAAUAAUAUAUAUGUGCUUAUUAGUUGGAGGAAAGAGAAGAGAAGCGGGCUCUUGGUUAGUAGAGCCAGCUACAACAUGAGACCCAAGCACUUUGUGAGGAUGUAAGGUGGCCAACUAUUGAUAAACUAGUACGUAUAUAAAAAUUAUUAUUGCACAUGGCCGCUAAGAGGUUGGCUGUAUAUGACAUGACAACUUCUUAUAGCCGACCCUUGGCUGUAUUAUUAACCAUGCUCUUAGUGAGGUAGCUAGUAUAUCAUAGACGACUAGCUAGUAUCAGACUAGCCAAAGUGGGAGUAACUUCAGCAGUAACAUCGACUCCAACUCAGAAAACUUGCUUAUGUGGGAGUAAACCGUGCCCAAUGCAAAAUACAAUCCCAGUCAUAAUUUUUUCAGGAAACGUGUGGUAUCCCAAACGAAAAGUACAUGUCACUCUUGCGGCAACGAUACCCAAUAAAUCACAAACGGUCUGCAGCACUUGUAUGUGUGCGAAGAGGCUCCUGAACCGUUUGUGAUAGAACAUUAUCGUAGACGAUAAUUGUUGGCAAACGUGUGCGAUGGAGUCUAGCAUGGCAGACAGGUUACGCAGAAAACUCGUGUGCGAUGGGGCACAAAUCGCACACAGUUCAUAUGUUGGCCCGUGUGCCUUACAUACUAUUUCCCAAACGGUUUGUUACGACAGACCGUAUGGUUUCAGUGCGUCAUUAGAAACGCUUAAUCACCGAUACCACACGUGCGAAAGAAUUUAGUGUGUGCUUCAUCGCACACGAUUACAUUUUGGAAGGCCUCUGGAUCACUGCUCCAUAUCCCCGACGGUUUCUGGGUCGUGUGGGAAGUACACCCUAUCGCACACACUCACUUGGCGACGGUUCCAAAUGCCAUCGCGGAAAGGGGUUGAAAACAGUUUGUUUAGAACCGACGCGUACCAUUGUCUAUCUAUCUAUCUACCUAUCUAUCUAUCUAUCUAUCCAUCCAUCUAUCUAUCUAUCCAUCUAUCUAUCCACCUAUCCAUCUAUCCAUCUAUCUAUCUCUAUCCAUCUAUCUAUCUAUCCAUCUAUCCAUCUAUCUAUCCAUCUAUUUAUCUAUCUAUCUAUCUAUCUAUCUAUCUAUGUAUCCAUCGAUCCAUCUAUCCAUCCAUCGAUCCAUCUAUCCAUCCAUCUAUCUAUCCAUGCAUCCAUGUAUCCAUCUAUCGAUCUAUCCAUCUAUCCAUAUAUCGAUCUAUCCAUCUAUCUAUCCAUCUAUCCAUCUAUCCAUCUAUCGAUCUUUCCAUCUAUCGAUCUAUCCAUCUCUUCAUCUACCCAUCUAUCCAUCUAUCCAUCUACCGAUCUAUCUAUCCAUCUAUCUACCUACCUAUCUAUCUAGCUAUCUAGCUAUCUAUCUAUCUAUCCAUCCAUCUGUCCAUCCAUCCAUCUAUCUACCUACCUACCUACCUACCUACCUACCUAUCUAUCUAUAUAUCUAUCUAUCUAUCUAUCUAUCUAUCUAUCUAAAGGAAAUAUGCCCUAGAUGCAAUAAUAAAGUUGUUAUUUAUAUUACUUAAACUAGCAGAGUCACCCGCGCAUUUGCGCGGCUAGAUUGACUACAUAUAUUGUUAUAUUUGGGAUUAUUUUUCUAUGCCAACUUUAUGGCCUCUUACUCAGAUAUUAUCUAAUUUAAUUUACCACCACCAUAUGUUAUAUCCAUAGAUUAUAAUUAAAAGGCAACUUGCGACGAAACAUGGUCAGAUUAUUGAGUGCUCAGAAGACGGGCGCAAUAUCAUAUAUAGACUUCUAUACCAAUCUUCAUGGUUCCCAUCUUUGAUCCUCUCCUCGUCCCUUGGUAUCUAUCUUUGCACCCAAUAUGUCUUUGGAGUUCCAAGAAUUGGAUCUUAGCAUGAAUGGCUUCAAAGUGUACCAAAUGUUCUCUUGUUCCUCCCAAAUUAAUUACUGGUUGCAUUCUUAGUUGCUUUGACAUUCUUGGUUAAUGCAAUGUCUUGCCUACCAAUAUAUGCAUCCACACACGAUCAUAUUUAUAUGACCACUUACCUCUGUAUUCUGGUAUUUGUGCUUCAGAAUUUUUCUCUCAUUCAGUUUAUUCAUAGAUUAGAAACGUCGAUCGUUUCUUUAUUGGUUUGCAUUAUCUUGUUUGCCGAAUGUAAGCAUCCACACAUGCUCGUCAUGAUAUGAUUGGUCAUCAUUGUAUAUUUGUAUUUGUGUGUUGAUAGCUUAAGGAUUUUCUCGGAUUCACUUCAUAGUUUAAGGAUUUUCUCGCGUUCAAUUUAUUCUACCUUAUUCAUUUUCAUGUUUCUUUAUUGUAUUCAUAUCCAUUCUUACAAUAUAUUUUCCAAGAUAUGAACUCAACUACUAAUUACGUAGUUUUCAAUGAAAUUUUACAUGUAAAAGUGGUACAAAUGCAUAAACCCAAUUUUUUUUUAAACACGUUGACUUACAAAAAGGACAAUUCAAGCUGCAUGUACGUCCGACUCAUGUUUACCUGACAAUGUCGAUGUUGAUUUCAGCAGUAAAUGAGCUGUGUGUGACCUUUGCGCUUUCCGGUAUUCUUCUAACCUGUGUGCUUUAUGAUCAGUUUGUUGUGCUUAGUACUGGACACUGGAGUAUACUAUCAUAUUUGAUACAAACAAAUCCGAACUGCUAUAGUUAUGAUCCACUGUAUAGUUAAUGGUGGUGGUAAUUAAUAUAUGUGGUUAAAUACUUGCGCUCCUUAGGUGGGGAGUUGGAUUUGUAUUUGUCUAAAAUGAAUUUCAGAUUUCGUAUCAGUGGUGAAGCCAGCCGGAAGAACCUCUGCGUCAUUAUUAAUUUUGGUGAUAUUUUUCAUCAUAGUGUAGAAUAAUUUUAGUGCUUAUUCCGCAAAAAAAUGGCCUCAACUGACCCCAUAGCUUGUAUGUUGCGCCACCACUGUUUCGUAUAUCUUAUUACAUCCGUUGUUUUUAGAUCUUGAUGCAUAACUUUGACAAUUUUUAAUAGAUAUGUGUCUGUAUAAAAAAAUUAUAAAUGCUAUGAUAAUUUGAUUAAUUAUGAUGAAUAAAAUGGUAUUGCUUUGACUUGAUCCCUCUAACAAUUUAUAGGAAUGCUCUUAAAUAUUUCUGCUUCAUUUGAUCUCAUUAUAGCCUGCCUAAAUUACAUGGCUUAAUCGCCUUUUUUCUUUUAUCUUAGUUCAUUUCCGUAAAUUCAUUUGUACUAUAUAUGCUCCCGUAAAUUCAUUUUUUUAAUUGCUCACAUUUUUUUGAGGCAUUUUGAGUUUCUCACGUACGCUCAAACGCCCAAGAAAACACAUAUAGUGUUCGCUACGCCCAAGAAAACACAUUGAGGCAGUAAUUUCUUCAGGCAAGAUCGAUCGGCAGCUAAUUAAGUAGGCUGGAUGGCAUUGAGAAAUCCAAAAACGAUUUACAUACACAUGGUAGAUCGUCUCUCUCUCUCCUUCCACCCCUUCCUUUCAUGGCCAUCGUAGACUGCACCAUGUGGCAUUCAAACUUUUAUCAAGGGGAGAGUUUCCUCACACACACACACACACAUGCACAUACGCAAGCACACGCACACACGUGUAGUACAAACUUAGAAUUUUUGGAAAUAAUGGGAGGCCGAGCAACGGCCAUGUGAAAAUAUGAGGUAUAUAGCUUGUGGAUUUCCUUUCAGUGUACAAGGCCUGCAUGAGGAAUGGAUAAAAAAUUAUAUCUUUGAUUCCCUUAGUUAAAUCUUAUCCUUCAUCGUCAAUUAUGACUAAGCAUACAUAGUAACCGCUAGUUUCUCUUAUAUGCUUCCGAGAAGAUAAGACUGGAUAUUUUAGUUGCUAUUAAUUGUUUCCCUUCUUUCGCUAAAUAGUAGUCAAACAUGUUAUUAAUGUAUUUUGUAAGGAUAAGGUCGAGCAUCAUGGCCACUAUGUUCUAUAUAUACUGAAUUUGGUGUUCAGUAUGACAUAACAAACACAUAUUGUGAGAAGGAGUAGUGUACAUUGUUCUCUAGUGCACUUUGUUCAGCAAGUUGGGUGAAAAUGUUGAAUAGAACCAUCAAGUUUUCAUACUUUUUUUCAUGGCACAGGUUUGCCUUCUCAUGAUGAUGGCCGCACCGUUUGCACAAGCUGCUGGGAGGCCUGUGGCCUCCUUACCAUGGGUAGCGGGGUGUUGCCCGAGGAACUAUUUGUGUUGUGGUGUUGGUGCCGUUGCCCCGACAUCCCAUGCAUCACAGGCCACCUCUGUACCUUGAGUUAUGGUUUCGCCUGAUCUCCUCUCAUAACAUAGUUGAUAUAACAUAGUAGCAUCACAAAGGUUGCAUGGUUUCAUUGAUUCAUCUCUUUUCUACUCCUUGAAACUUGUGAUGCCACUUUUGAACAAUGUCAUUGCUAUGUCUUCUUAUAACUAAUAAAAUGGGAGGAUAUUUUCAUCUUAUUUGAAUUGUGUUGUAACAUUACCUACUAAUGUGGAUGAUCUGAGUGGGACUACAUAGAUCGGAUCUUCUAAAGAUGUAAUCUAGGACUUUGCGAGAUGAUGAAAUUGUCCUUUAUCUUGGUCGACACCUUUUCGUAGAAGUGUUGGUCGGCCGUCUGUGUCUUUUUGCGGUGCAUGCCGUAGAAUCCUCCAUGUUUUGUAGUUGUACAAUAACCUUUGAGGCAACCGGGGGUGGUACGUCUGAGGAAGUCGGUGGCCCAGGAAUAUUCAUAAUAAGAUCUUGACCAUGGAUGCCAAGUAAUUUGCCCCGUGCUGAUGUCGUCGGGCUGACCCGCUCACUUAUGUUUUGACUCAAGGAGUCGCUAUGUUCACCGAGUCGCGAGACAGCGGGAGGAAGGAGACGAAGGUCCCAAACGUCAGACCAAAAAGGUGGACUAGGGCUCGCCCUAGUUGUGCUCUCGGGUAUUUUCAGUUACUAGUAGGAGUAAGAAGCAUUGCAAAUUGCUCCCUCUGUUCAAUCCGUAUAUAUGUAGUCCAUAUUCAUAUAUUCAAAAUAUUUUAUAUUUGUGAACGAAGGAAGUAAUUAAUUGUAAUGCAACAAUUUCAGGGGAGGCCAGUCAACAGCUAACUAAAUGUGCUGGAUGAGACUGGAGAAAUGUAUAAACGAUUUACACAUGAUAGAACUACUCUUUUCUUGUUAAGAAAUGGAAGAAUGGAUGAUUUUAUCCGUUCGGAACAAAACCCAAUAUUCAUCCAGUUAGACGUUGUUCUGAAUUGUGACGCUUUUGAAAGUUUUCUCGCAGAAAUAUGUGUGUAUUCCAGUUGUAUCAUUAGCAAACCAAGGUUGUAUAUAUUAUAGCACAAAGAAUGUUUGGUUGAUUCGUUCAGGCGAAUCGGGUUUGUUGCUGACUGCCAAAGUCAGGCCAACUCCAGCGCACGACCCCAAACGGACAUCUGUUUUGCCUGGAUUCUGCCCGUUUGGAUAGGGCAAUGGGGUCGUGUCCGGGCCUGUCCUGUGAUGCGGUGGCCGUGCGCACAACGUGCGGACGCAUCCUUUGGCCUCAUCAUGUCCGCCACGGCCAAAAAUGCCCAUAUAUUCAUAUUUCAAUGUUCAAAACUAGUUUGCACGUUCAAAUAUUAAUUGUCUGAAAAUAAAAAUAGUUAUUACAACCCAAUCAAAAUUGUCUCUAAUAAAAUAGUUUUACAACCAAAUCGAAAUUGUCUUGAAUGAACAUAAUGAACCAAUACAUCUAUUGGUUGCCAAUGUGAUUCCACAUGUGCUCAACCAAGUCAUUUUGAAGAUCCAAAUGAGUGUGCCAAUCAUGCAUUUCACGAUGAAAUUGGGCAAACUUCUCAAACGUGGCCGGUUCUUGGUGCAGGGGCUGAACAUUUUCACCUUGAAAAUCAAAUCCUUGGUCGAAGAUGCUGUUAUCAUGCUCGUCCUCGAUGAUUAUGUUGUGCAUGAUCACACAAGCAGUCAUCACCUCCCGAAGCUUCCCUUCAUCCCAUGUCAAUGCAGGGUUUCAAACGAUACCCCAUCGGGAUUGAAGCAAACCAAAAGCACGUUCCACAUCCUUCCUAGCACUCUCUUGCAUUUGGGCAAAUCUCUUUCUCUUCUCACCUUGGGGGUUCGAGAUUGUCUUCACAAAAAGUUGACCACUGAGGAUAUAUACCAUCAGCUAGGUAGUAUCCCUUGUUAUACUGGUGGCCGUUGAUCUCAAAGUUGCCAGGUGGGGAGUGGCCUUCUGCAAGCCUUGCGAAGACUGGAGAACGCGGCAGCACGUUGAUAUCAUUGUGAGAACCUGCCAUGUCGAAGAAAGAAUGCCAUAUCCAAAGAUCUUGCGAAGCCACCGCUUCUAAUAUGAUAGUGCAAGCUUUAACAUGCCCCUUGUACUGGCCCUGCCAAGAAAAUGGACAGUUCUUCCACUCCCAGUGCAUACAAUCUAUGCUACCAAUCAUGCCUGGAAAGCCUCUAGCUGCGUUGGUCGCCAACAAGCUUUCUGUAUCAGUGGCAUUUGGCUGCUGAGGGAGUCCUGGAUUAAGGGGUCCUCGGGCGUCUGGGCUAUGUAACAUGGGCUGGACUAAUGGGCCGCGAAGAUACAAGAUGGAAGGCUUUCCCCCCAUGUCCGGAUGGGACUCUCCUUGGCGUGGAAGGCAAGCUUGGCAUGCGGAUAUUAAAGAUUCCCUUCCCUGUAAACCGAGUCUGUACAACCCUAGCCCCCUCCGAUGUCUAUAUAAACCGGAGGGUUUAGUCCGUAGAGGCAAGGAUAAUCAUACAGGCUAGAUAUCUAGGGUUUAGCCAUUACGAUCUCGAGGUAGAUCAACUCUUGUAAUCCCUAUACUCAUCAAAGUCAAUCAAGCAGGAAGUAGGGUAUUACCUCCAUUAAGAGGGCCCGAACCUGGGUAAACAUCGUGUCCCCUGCCUCCUGUUACCCUCUAUCCUUAGACGCACAGUUCGGGCCCCCCUAUCCGAGAUCCGCCGGUUUUGACACCGACAGCUGCCUCAAGUACUCAGGGCCAAACACUGCCACCACAGCCUUGUAGAAUUUGUAAAGUGACAACAGACAUGUCGACUCACUCAUGCGCACGUACUCAUCCACCAGAUCGCCUGGAAUUCCAUAUGCAAGCAUGCCGAUGGCCGCGGUGCACUUCUGGUAAGAGGAGAAUCCAAGCUUGCCAAGGGCAUCCGUCUUGCACUCGAAGUAUGGGUCAUGAGCAACCACUCCCUCUCGGAUACGAUUGAACAGAUGCCUUGCCAUACGAAAACGGCGACGGAAUUUAUUCGGCUUGAAGAGCGAGGUAUUCGCAAAGUAAUUGGCAUAGAGCAAGGCGUGGCCUCUCUCUCUAUUGCGUUUCAGGUUGGGAGCACGGCCAGGGACUGACCCCAUGUACCGAGGAAGCUGCCCAAUGUGAUCGUGAACGACCAGUGCAACCACCACCAGAUCUUCGUCAUCCGAGGACGAAUCAUCCGAUGAAUAAAUGAAGUGGUGGAAGAAAAAUUCAUCUCCACUGUCCAUACCUUUGUGGGCAAAGUGUCCAACACCUUGCGGUCGUGGUGGCAAAUAGGCCGCGAUGAUCAUCUCGAUGCAGCAGGGGUGGUUGGCGGCCGGCUACUGGCCGCUAUGGAGCACCUGGCGAAAGCUGCCGUGGUCCAUAUCCGUCGCCGGUGGUCGUAUCCCCUCUGGCACCGGCUACAACGACGACGGCCAAAUCUCCUCCAAGCGAUGGCCAGAACUCCUACGAAAGCGCGGGCUUGGUGGCGGCCGUGUCGAGACGUGGUUUGGUAUGGAUGGCCGGGGGGAAGCAGUGAGGAGGCGGUCGGAGAAUACUGGGGGCGCCGGUGGCGGGGUGGGGCGGAGGAGAGCGGGUGGAGGCGUUGGAGGCGAAUGGAGUGCUAGUGUCCCCAACAGGCGGGCCGCGGGGAGGACAAGGGCGUGUGUCCAGCCCGUCCGUGUGAUGUCCGUUUCAUCCCAAACUCGGCACAAGUUUGGGCCAGGAAUGGGUAAAAAACGGACGAAAUCCGGACAUUUGUCUAUUUGAGGCCGUGCCUUGGGUCGCGCUAUUCGUGUAUUCUACCCUAAACGGACGCACCAGAACGGAAUGGGGUCGCGUGCUGGAGUUGGCCUCACGACCGUUUCUGCCUUUGGCGCAGACAAGAGAUUCUACACUGUAAAGGAAAAAGCUGAAAGCUCGCUUGUCUCGUGUGUUUCUCUUCUCUUGCACCUUGUCGGAAAACAGCGUGCACCAGGGACGCUCGAUUCCAUGGCAGGCAUCAAUUCAAUCGAUCAUGCUACAGGGAACCGGCACUAUUUUCUUUUUCUUUUUCUUUUUCUUUUAGGUCGUGAACGCAAGUCAUUUGAGACAUUCACAUAGGACUUACAUAAUUGGUAGAUUUAUUAGCAUCAGUGUGGAGCUAAAGUGUUUGAUGUUUUGUAUGAAUGGUUUGGUCUUAACAAUCAAGCCGACCACUCAGGACCUACUUUUGGACUUUUUUUUUGUAUUAUUGUAUACUAGCAAAAGGGCCCGUGCGCGGAGAAAAAAAUUAUAAUCUUGAAUGACCAUGAUCACAUUUUUUUGCAUCACCGAGAUACACUAUCACUUUCAAUUUCGGGAAAUCAUGUACAUUUUUUAAACUUGUGAACAUUUUUCAAAUUCUUGAACACUUUUACAAAUCUGCAAACAUAUUCUAAAAUCAAGAACAUAUUUUGAAUUCAUGAACAUUUUAUAGUAUUUACAAACAUUUUUAGAAAUUACGAAUUCUUUUUAACAACUUUCUUGAAUAGGCAAACAAUUCUAAAAUGGACGAACAUUGUUUUAUAAAUCGGUGGAACAAUUUUUGAAAUUCACGAACAUUUUUUUGAUUUUACAAACAUUUUUUGAAAUGCAUGAUCAUUUUUGUAUAAACUAUUUUGUAUGUCACGAACAGAUUUUCAAAUAUUUGGUUAUUUCCCCAUUCAUGAACAUUUUUUGAAUGGUGAUAUUUUCUUCAAUUUCAUUAACAUUUUUUAUACACCAAUUUUUAAAAAGUCAUGGACGUAUUUUGAUUUCAUGAACAUUUGUUUUCAAAAUUUCGAACAUUUUUCGAGUCAGAUUCUUUAAUAAAAUUGCAAAUAUUUUUUGAAUACAUAAACAUUUUAUGAUUUAUUAAAACUUUAUUUGAAAAUUAUUUUUAAAUUUCAAAUAUUUUGUGUAUUCCGAAUUUAGUUAAAGCAGAAAAAACGGAAAAGGAUAAAAAAGGAAAUGUUAAAAACAGGCCGCCCGGACAUGGGCGGCCCAAACAGGCGGGCCGCGCCUUAUCCCUACGCGCAGAGCCCAGUAUGGGAGGUCGCUACUACAUGGCCCAGUCCAGACGUGGAUUCCCUGUGUGAAACAUUUAUAUCACUUAUACAUGACAUUUGUGGGUAAUUUGUACGACGUGCCAUAAGAAGAAAUAGCCCCUUUAUUAUUACUAGCAAAAGUGUCCGUGUGUUGUAAUGGGAGAAAUAAAAUCAAAAUCUCCAAUGACCAUGACCAUAUUUUGUUGCAUCACCCAGACACCCUAUCACUCUCAAUUUCAUGAAAUCAUGAAUAAUUUUUGAAAUCACGAACAUGUUUUAAAAUUAUUACUCAUAUUUGAAAUUGUGAACAUUUUUCAAAUUCAUGAACACUUAUACAAAUUUUCGAACAUUUUCUAAAAUCCAGAACAUUUUUGGAAUUGAUGAACAUUUUAUACUAUUUGCAAACACUUUUUAAAGAUUCUGAACAUCUUUAUAAACAAUUUUCUUUAAUCGAGGAACAUUUGUAUGGAAAUUGACGGAACAAUUGUCGAAAUUCACAAACAUUUUUUGAUUGAACUAACAUUUUUUGAAAUACAUGAUCAUUUUUUGAAUCAGUAGACAUUUUCUGAAUGACUAAACUAUGUUGUAAGUCACGAAAUAGUUUUUGAAUUUUAGGAUAUUUCUCCAUUCAUGAACACUUUUUGAAUUGGCUAUUUUUUUCAAUUUCAUUAACAAUUUUUGAUACAAAAACUUUUUAAAAAUCAUGAAUUUUAUUUGAUUUCCCAAAAAAUUGUGUUUAAAGUUUUGAACAUUUAUUGUGUAAGCAAUUGUUUUUUACAAAACAGCGACCAUAUUUUGAAUCCACAAACAUUUUAUGAUUUAUGAAAAUUUUAUGUCAAAAUACUCAUUUUUUAAAUUUUCUAAACUUUUUUGAAAUCCUAAACUAUUUAUAGUAAAAAGAACGAAAACAGGAAAGAAAAAUGAAAAUAGAAAACGAAAUCAAAGAAACAGGCCAGCCUGAAAUGGGCCGGCCCAAACAUGCGUGUAGCGUCUUCUCCCAGCGUGCCGAGAACAUUAUAGGAGGUCCCUACUGUAGAGCCGGCCCAGAUGGGGGAAUUCCCUUGUGUGAAUUUUUUGUAUCACUUAUAUGUGGCAUUGAACUCAUGAAGCAUGCGCUAUCCCUUCCAGCUCGCCGCCAUGUCUGGCUCGGACAACCAGAUGGACUUUCUUUCGUCCCUGUAAACGUUUUGAUGAUAUAAUAAAAAGCUUCGGAAUUUGUCUAAAAAAACUUAUAAGUGGCAUUGGUGGGUAAUAUUUUGCAACUUUAGAGGUAAUUCCAUGACGUACCACCAGAAGCACAAUAGCCCCUUUACUAUUAUUAGGUACUCUUUUUUCCUUGUGGAGCUUUGGAAAUGAGAGAAUUUGAAUAUAGUAACUCUCGGAAACUCUUAUUGGACGAGAGAGAUUUAAUAUGAUAUUGGCAUGGGUUCUACCAACUAAACGAAGAAGUAUUUGACUGAAUAAACAGACAAUUUCCUUUAAUCGACGAACAUUUUUAUGAAAAUUGGUGGAAUAACUUUUGAAAUUCAUAAAUAUUUUUUGAGUUAACGAACAUUUUUUGAAAUACAUGACCAUUUUUUUGAAUCUGUGAACGUUGUAUGAAUGAAUAAACUAGUUUGUAAGUCAUGAGCAGUUUUUCAAUUUUUAGGAUAUUUUUCCCUUCAUGAACAUUUUUUCAAUUGGUGAAAUUUUGUUCAAUUUCAUUAACAAUUUUUAGUGCAUAAAACUUUUUAAAAUCAUGAACAUUAUUAUUUACCAAAGAAGCAAAUUGUUUUUUGCAAAAUCAUGGACAUUUUUUGAACCCACAAACAUUUUAUUAUUUAUGAAACAUUUUUUUAAUACACAAUUUUUUUAAUUUUCGAAUUUUUGUGAAAUACUAAAUUAUUUAAAGUAGAAAAAUCAAAAACAGAAAAGAGAAAGGAAUAAUAGAAAAGGAAGUUAAAUAAUAGGCCGACCGAACAUGGGCUGGCCCAAACGGGCGCACUGCAUCUUCUNNNNNNNNNNNNNNNNNNNNNNNNNNNNNNNNNNNNNNNNNNNNNNNNNNNNNNNNNNNNNNNNNNNNNNNNNNNNNNNNNNNNNNNNNNNNNNNNNNNNNNNNNNNNNNNNNNNNNNNNNNNNNNNNNNNNNNNNNNNNNNNNNNNNNNNNNNNNNNNNNNNNNNNNNNNNNNNNNNNNNNNNNNNNNNNNNNNNNNNNNNNNNNNNNNNNNNNNNNNNNNNNNNNNNNNNNNNNNNNNNNNNNNNNNNNNNNNNNNNNNNGUAUUAUUAUUGUUUCAAAUUUAUUCAUAUAUUAUUUUCAAUUGUACAACCAUAAUUUUUCUUAUCUCUCUCGUUCCACUACAUGCUCCUAGUCAAAGAUUUUUUUUAAUAAUGGGUGUUUUUAUUAACUCAAAAUAUAGCAUCAAGCGGAUACAAAACAUAAUGAGCCACACCCGGUCUAUGCAUAACUAAGAUGCACACAGCCAAAAGCAGAAGUCUGACAAAAAUAAGAUAAGAAAAUCGACAUAUCGACAACAGUGAGUCAUGUAGUACCGACACUAUGCCUCUGUCGAAGGAGGUGGUGGAGCGAUCUGGAGAUUAUGCUGCCAUCCAUGUUGAGUAAAUAUCUCCCUGGCCACUUGCUCCAACCGCAUAGACGCCGCCAUGAACAACGGUUGGUACUCCAUUCGGUGUAGCAUACACCAUACUAGAGGCUGGGGCGCCACCUGAGGCGGGCCUAUGCGCACUUAUUUUGUCUGGGCACUUCGGUUGUCAUGUUUGGUCAUCAGUAUCACUUAUGUACAUCAAUAUGGGCGUAUGCUGUAUUGUUUGAGUUCAUUAGGAUCUAUUAGUAUCACAUCAAUCAAAGUACAUAUACUAUGUUAUUUGAGUUCAGAACCAUCAUAGGCAAUGAUACGUCUAAUAAGGAUAUAUAACAUUUAAUUCAAAAGGAAAGACAAAGUAGAAUUAAGUGCUUUAGUUUGGCCGAAGAAAGGAACCUCAUGAUGCCAUGACUAAGGAACCAAAUAUAAAAGAGCACCUUUCAGAGUACUCCAGAGGUAUGACAUCAUCCAUUUCCACAUCAGAAUCAUCGGAAUUCUCCUGAUCUUCAUUUCGAUGUACCCAACACAAAUGCUACAUGGAUUUUAGUCAGCUGCACUCCCCACUACUUCUACACUUCCCCUUUUUCACACCGACGAGCAGAGACUGAUGCAAGUUGAUCGAACACAGAACAACAUAUAAUUUCCUAGAGAUGCGCUGGGCCUGAAAGGCAACAUACCUAGCAUGCGCAUAAAAUGUGAGAGUAACAAUAAAAGAACAUACCAUUUACCGAUAUGAUUAUUAUUGCUUGCCAAAAUGAUACGUUUUGAUUACUAUUGCAUGCCAAUAUUCUUAAUCACUCCAAGCAAAUUUAACCUAAACUAAAUAUCUAAGAGUAAGCUCUGGUUUAUGUAUUUUACAGAAGUUUGGUUCAGCGAAACUUCGGAAGCAAAUGUGUGAAGGUUUUAUCAUUCUAAUUAAAGGCCUUUUGAUUGUGCAAAACUUACACUACCACAUGAGUUACUGACCAACAUGAGAUGCAAAGUAACAACAGCAUGAUAAUUUUUUUUGAAGGCAGUCAUAUUCUAAAGCAUUAAAAGAUGAAUUCCAAUGCUUUGAUUCUGUAAAGAAUUAGAUCGAUCACUCAACAGUUCUAUUGGCGCCACUAAAAUUCUGAGUGCAAUGUUGUGUAUGUAGCUAAAAUUCACCCAUCAAAGACAACCUUAAUAAUAAGCAAUGGUCAAAACAAGCAAUUGUUGAAGUUAAAUGUAAUUAGAUAGGAAGUCACAUUUGAUUCAUGACCAUCGAGCUGAAAAUGAGACCGAUAAAAGCUGAUUCACCAUGAAGAGAAACAACUAAUGUGAACCUCGGGUUGUAAAACAAAUAGGAUGAGUCGUGUGCUGAUUGCAAAAAAUUGUACUUCUAACCAAAUGACCAUGCUUCAUGAAUAGAUGACAAUAUAGUAACACGAAAGUGAAGUACGGUGAAAUUUUGUAAGCUACUAAGGGCAUAGGGCAAAGCUCACACUCCAGCUUGCACUCCUUGAAGAAAUCAACCAAAAGCACCCAGAAAGAUAAAUGGCAUUGUGGCAUCCGAUGAAUGUUGAUAACUGUACCAUCACACUAAUUUAAUCUACAAAAUUCAUGUCAACAUCACUAAUCAUGAUGUAUCAGGUUAGGAUAAAAUCAUUGUUUUUUCCCAAAAUAAAAUAAAACAAGCCCAGUUAGAAAGAAAUCAUAAGCCUAUCAGACAAUCAGGCAAUUCUGUUAGCAUGUCAACAAUCAGACAGAACAAAACCUAUAGUCCUCAUUUUUUUCUUUCUAAAAAAAGUGUAAUGCUAGAAAAGAGAGUUAAAUAAAAUGCUACGUGAAUCAGCAUACAGAAAAUUCAUAGAAGCAAUGAAGAAAAUAUGAACAAAAUUUAUGUCGAAACACCUAUACUUUCCCCACGAGCAAAUAUGUGUAAUGUUAGAAAAGGGAGUUAAAUAAAAUGUUAGGCAAAUCCGCAUCCAGAAAAUUCAUAGAAGCAAUGAAGCAAAGAUGAGCGACAAAUUUAAUCUACACACACACACACACACACACAUUCAGGCAAACAAAUUACUUCGAUUGAAUCCAUUCCUUUGCAUAUAUGGCAUAAAUGCAUCUAAGGAAAAAAAAACUUGAUGGUGUUAGUUUACCUUGCCAAGAUCAUGAAAUCCAUCUAAAUGAAUAAGAAGCUCCAACAGUGUCCGCUGGAUCUCAUGGUCGUCAUUGGUUCCCUCACUAAAUCUUCUCGCAUCAAUUGCAUCGAUUUCAUCCAUGAAGAUAAUGCAUGGCUAGAAAUAACAACUUGAUGAAAAUGAAACAAAAUUUGCAAGCACCGUAAAUAAACUAAAUGGUGAUAUAAGCUAAAAUGAUCUCAGAAGUGCACUUUUACAUAUAUAGAGAUCAGUUUGAUUUCUUCUUCUCAGGAAAAACUGAUACUGAAAUCUAAAGCUUAAAGUUUUUCUAGUGUUGAACCAGAAUACAAUUAGAUGACAUGACAUCUGAGUCAAGGGAACUAUCAAAGUCACAGCUUGAAUCUCAACACCAGUAGAUGCAUAACCAUCUGCCAACAUACGUUUCUAACAGAUAAUAAGGGAAUUAGGUUUAAGACCAAUUGGCUUUGCAAAAAAGAAAGGCGGAGCAAAACUUACUUGGCGAUCGCGUGCAUAGCCGACCAUUUCUCUGAUUAAAAGCGCACUUUCCCCGAUAUAUUUGUCAAUUAUAGCACUUGACACAAUCUGGUUUUUAGACAACACGUCAGUGUAAUGUAAUACUCACAGAAUGAAAAUACCAACCACCAUCAAUCAAGUGAAAACCACAGCUCCAAAAAGUUAGCAUGAAUGUUACUGGAUAUAGCCCUUGAUAGUAAUGGCUUCCCUGUAGAGUAGAACGCACUUGAAAAAGUUAAAGAAACAUACACUGGCUCCCAUAUAUUGAUCUUGUAUUUGACAAGUGGCCGGGCAUCAACAUUGUGCCUGCUGGUGUACCAAUUCAGCUUGUAGCUGCCAGCUAAUCUCCUUCUGAACAGUUAUGCUGUCCUCACUCACGUGCUACGCCUAUUCAAACUUGCUUAAUUUAAUUUGUUACUACUAUGUUAAUGCUGACAUAUUAACUGGCAGACCUCAUGUACUAACAGUAAAUCCCAGCAUACUUUCUUAAUUUGCUACUAUCCGGAUUUAUUCUUUUAGCGAGAGGUCAGGUAUCACUUGGAACAACUGAGUUUCUUUUUAAUCUUUGUGGACACUACACUUGAACGCCACAACCACCUGGAUAUGUCAGGCAGGACGGGCAGCAGCGCAUCAUCAGUAAGUUUAUUUAAGAGAGUAAAAUUCAGUCGCAAUCAGUCAAUCUCAAUCAGGUUCAGAUUUGGACGCGACCUUGAAUAACGAAGCCCCAACUGGGAAGAACAAGGUUGCAAGAACAAGCAGAUUGACGAUGGGUUCAUGGAAGCUUACCAGGCAGGCAGUCCGCCCGGCGGCUUGAGCAAGCUGCUGCUGGUACCCUACGCGCAGUCGCAGUCCGCACCGGCCAGGGCACACGAGCACUGACGCGCGUGCCGCCUGCCGCUUCACCAUGCCCACGUUGUAGUCGCCACCGAUUCACGGCAGGGCAGAGGGGCCUCGACCUCGUCCUCCUCCACAUCAUCAUCGGCGAUGCCCUUCCCCUCCUGACCCCAACACCAUCAUGCCCCCGCCGACUCAUCUCCCUACAGCGACGGCGACUCCGGAGGCUCCGAGACCUGGGACACCGACAUGAGUGGCUCGUCGGCAUCGGAUCUCCUCCACCCNNNNNNNNNNNNNNNNNNNNNNNNNNNNNNNNNNNNNNNNNNNNNNNNNNNNNNNNNNNNNNNNNNNNNNNNNNNNNNNNNNNNNNNNNNNNNNNNNNNNNNNNNNNNNNNNNNNNNNNNNNNNNNNNNNNNNNNNNNNNNNNNNNNNNNNNNNNNNNNNNNNNNNNNNNNNNNNNNNNNNNNNNNNNNNNNNNNNNNNNNNNNNNNNNNNNNNNNNNNNNNNNNNNNNNNNNNNNNNNNNNNNNNNNNNNNNNNNNNNNNNNNNNNNNNNNNNNNNNNNNNNNNNNNNNNNNNNNNNNNNNNNNNNNNNNNNNNNNNNNNNNNNNNNNNNNNNNNNNNNNNNNNNNNNNNNNNNNNNNNNNNNNNNNNNNNNNNNNNNNNNNNNNNNNNNNNNNNNNNNNNNNNNNNNNNNNNNNNNNNNNNNNNNNNNNNNNNNNNNNNNNNNNNNNNNNNNNNNNNNNNNNNNNNNNNNNNNNNNNNNNNNNNNNNNNNNNNNNNNNNNNNNNNNNNNNNNNNNNNNNNNNNNNNNNNNNNNNNNNNGGAGGCUCGAGCUUGGGAAGGGGGGAGGGGAACGAAGGGGUGGGGCUCCAGGCAAUCCUCACCUCCAAAGACAACUUGACCGGCAACACGGGCAGGCUAGACCUCUUCUAUGGCGAGGCCAACUUCGGCGAGGGGACGAGGUGGUGCGGGACCUUGGAGAUAUCUCCCCCGCGCGUGGAGCUUGUCCGGCGACGCCGCUGAAGAUGCCACUGCCACGACCAGCUCGAUCCUCCUUCGCUGGACUCCGAUCUGGACGAGGACUGAGCUAGGAGGAGGGAAGCGGGAGAGGAGAAGGCGCAGGAGAAGCGGCUGAGCCGGCGGCGCAGGGACCAGGGAGAGAAGAAGGCGAACGAAGAGGGGAUUGACAGAGUGGCGAAGAAGCAUGCGGGCUAGGUUUCCUUUUCUUUUUCUCCCAGCACUGCACAGUUGCUUGUCUCGUAGCUUGCCGGCAUGGCUAUGGCGAGGGCUCGCCCUUGAUGCGUAGGUUAAUGUAUUCGACUAGCGGGGCGCCUCUUGAGAGGAAGCUGAGCGGUGCUAGGUGGGACGCGCCCCUUUCCCUUUCCUGCAUAUACUAUGUAAUGUUAUUGCAUCAGAUUUAAAGUAACAUGCUCAGCUAAGUGCAAAGUGUGAUGAAUAAGUGAAACAGAAGGAAGCUGGUACAUUGGUGUAUGCCAAAAACUGAAUAUUAUAACAUAAACACAUGAAGUCAUCGACGUCUAUGGUAUGAAAUGCACAUGCACAAAAUUAGAGUGCACAUGAAGACAGAGCACUAUAGUGUCCUGAGUUGCAAGUCUCUAAGCACUGAAAUGAUCUGCAAUCAUAUGUACAAAGUAACCGAAUAAGAACAAGAAAUUUAGAGUAAAUGAGCUGUAAAAUUGUAAGUAAUGAGCAUUGGAAUUAAGGCAGAGUCAGUGACAGUUGGGUGCACUUGACAGGAAAAUCGGCGAGGCAUAAUAUGAAAUUAGAGUAAAUGAGUGCGUGCACUUCUCUUGGUGGCACCUAAAUGAAAAAAGAAACUAUUCACCUCUCGAUAUAUUCCCUAAGACCAUAUAAAAUCAGGAAGGUACUGAAGAGAGAUGCUCAAAUUCGAAGUUGCCAUGUCUAGGAAUGCUUGAAGCUUCAAAGAUUUCCUAUAAUACAGCAUGCCUCUAACUAUUCACAAUAAGAAAAACAUGUAAAUGCGGAAUCAACCAAAUGAUGGUAAAUUGUAGUUGAUUUUGGCCAAGCAAACGUCAGAUGAAAGAAACAUACAUGAGUGAACAUCACGAUUGGAUGUUUUAUUCAAAUUUAACAGGUUAAACUCACCAAAUACAUCUGGAUAUUUAGUGUUAAACUUCAACAGAUGGUCAGUUGUAGCUAGAUUCACACCACUGAAGCAAAAUUCCAUCUGCCACGGUUACAUCACACCAUCUUUUCAUCGUUACUAUUUAAAUUCCAAAAGCCUGCAACUCAUUUUUUUUGUUACGAUGUAUGCAUGAUUUUUAACUCAAGAGGAAGAGGGGAAACUAAAUCCAAGAAAAGAACACCAAGGAAGCAUCCAAAAUAGAGAAAGGAAAAAUCCAAAAUAGAGGCAGAAUCGAAGGGAAGAAACCCCAUAAAAAAUAGGAGAUCAAACGGUGAAAAAAAUCUAAGAGUCAAACAAUUCCAGGUAAGACCAAAUCGACGGCAAAAUAGCACAAGAGGGACUCACAUUAACAGGUAUACCAAUUCAGAAAGAAGUGUAAAGCAAACAGUGCAAUGGACCACUAGUAUAAAUUGGAUGUACACAAACAUGGGACUUAAACAGGAACUGCGAGAUGCAGGGUUCACGUGCAAACCCAAAAAACGGAAAACUGAAACCCACAACAAGAUUUUAUCUUCAUAUAUAUAUAUAUAUAUAUAUAUAUAUAUAUAUAUAUAUAUAUAUAUAUAUAUAUAUAUAUAUAUAUAUAUAUAUAUAUAUAUNNNNNNNNNNNNNNNNNNNNNNNNNNNNNNNNNNNNNNNNNNNNNNNNNNNNNNNNNNNNNNNNNNNNNNNNNNNNNNNNNNNNNNNNNNNNNNNNNNNNNNNNNNNNNNNNNNNNNNNNNNNNNNNNNNNNNNNNNNNNNNNNNNNNNNNNNNNNNNNNNNNNNNNNNNNNNNNNNNNNNNNNNNNNNNNNNNNNNCCUAUCUAUUAGUUGCUUCUUCCGAAUCCCCACCUAUCAAGCGUUUUCUUUGAAUAAACAAACACAAUAGUAUUCUCUGAAUUAUACUGUACAGUGAUAAUUAACCAAGCGACUGGAAUUAACAAUAUUAUGAGCUAUUGGCUUUUUAGUCAGGUAAAUAUCAUUCUUAAGACUACGGAAAACAGCAGGCGGCGAAGAAAACAUCUAUUGAUGAGAACUAUACACAUACUUAAGAAGGAAGUGACAUCUAUGGUAGCAGAACAUAUAUCAAGCUGUUGCAGCUACAUUAGCAGUUUAGCACAGUCCCUCCAUAAUACACAGGCUAGUGUAAUUUCACAAAUACAAUAAGCUAACAAUAUAUAUUUGGUAGAUGGAAAUGGCUGGAUCAUGACCAAUAUACGAUUACACAUCCGAUGAUGCAAAUAAAGAAACGAGGCCCAACAAUAGUGGAAAAUAAACCACAAUAGAACAUGUAUUUGGCGAAACCUCCAUACUGCAAUAUCAAACAUGAAUUGAAAUUAACAAUCUAGCAAAAAAACAUGACAGAUGCAGUCUUGGUCAUUUUUUCUUUUGUGACAUCCCCUAAAAAAAGUAAAAAGAAUGUUGUUCGUAUUUUACCAGAGAUACACUGAGCUGGGACAAAUCGGUCUGAAAUAAAAUAUGAUGGCUUCGGAGGAUUCGGAAGGCAAGAAAUUUGCUUUCUUCCAACAUAUAUGGUCUGCUGAACUAAACUUUGUUUCAGCGAGCUUUGGCAAAAAUCUGUAACUGCAAACAUCAAACUUGUGUGCCCUUCCUACAUCAAACUUUAAACCUGACGGAUUAAAUAUUUUAGGUUAGGCUGAGAUCAGUGUACUUUAUGAGUGUUAAGUGUACUUUCUAAAUAGCAGAGAAACCAUAACAUCUAAGCACAACCCAGCAACUUGUACAAGCUAACAUCAAAUCUGAAAGAGGAAAUGUCGAGAACAGGUGAAGGUACCAUGAUCCAUGACUGAGCAAAGUUAUCUAUAAUCCUCGGUGAAUAUCAUAAAUUAGGAUCAACAAAGCUGAAGAACAAACGGGAAAGGAACCUAGAAAGAUCUUCUGCCGGUAGAAUAUAACUGAUACACUAUCCUCAUUCUCGAGAUCAAGGUCGUUUCUUGAAUUGCAGUUUCCUCACUGUAGUAUGGGGUCAUUACACUGCGAAGAACAAAGUGUCAUAUGAAUCAUUUAGAGCCCAAUCUUUUUCACUGAAACUCUUAUGAUCACAUAACGAAUUUAAACAUAAGGUUUAUUAGAUAUUUGUUGUUGUGAACUGAUAAUAUAUUUCUGGUGUUGACAAUGUUUUGAUUAUGGAUGCACUUCAAGAUGGGUGGCACAGAUUCUGUUGUACAGGCCUCCACCUGGAAUUUCAUCACUUGUUAUUUUUGUUUAGAAUGUCUAGGUGCAUUUUUCCUUUAAGGUGGAAACAGAUGUACUUGUAUAAGCAACAAGAAUACAAAGCGCCACUGCCAUACAUUGUGGAAGUUCAAUGCUUCUGUUUACAAAAUCUGCUUCCCAAAACAGAAGGAUUUAUAAUUUUUUAUUACAAUCAAGCGGACAUGAGCUGAUGAGUACAGAUGUAAACAUGUACUGAGAGCAGCACCCUUUCAAAAGUGGAUCAUUUACAAGUUGGAUAGUUUGAUGGUCUGAAAUUAGUGGUCGUGUUUCAGAAUUGUUAUCGAAUAGUAGAGGAUAUAUAUUAACUUCUGAAAUUAGUGGCUGUUUGUCAGAACUGUUAUCGAAUAACAGAGCACAUAUAUUAACUUCAAUAAGUGGAGUAAUAUCUUUGGAUUCGCUGUGAGGAAAGAUUACCAAAACAAAACAGAAGUGAGUGCGACGACCCAGAUGAGGGCGCUCUUGAGCCUCUUCCCGACCGACCUAGAUGCAGGAGCAGAACACCGCGGAUCUAAUCAGCCAACGAAUAAAGCCGAGGCAGGUAGAGGAAGUAAGGGAGGAAGAAGACUGACUUGUCCUGGUCGCCCUCGUAGUAGAAUAUGGUGAACGGGAUGACGAGGAAGACGAGGACAGCGUCGAGGAUGUAGACGACGAGCCAGAGCGUCUUCAUGGGCAGGAUAAGGGCGCAGGCCCCGUUGUAGGCGGCGUGCUUGCAGGUCUGGCGGUUGGCGACGUCAGCGGGGAGCAUGAGGAUGGAGAGGACGGCGACGGUGAUGCCGAGCACGACGACGAGCUUGGGGAAGUAGGCCUGGUUGGCAUCAUCCGGGUGCUGGUAGUUGACGAGCAUGUAGACGCUGACGAGGAGCACCAGGAUGCUGACCACCGCCGCCACGAUCACUAGCGCCACGUUAAAAACCCCAUCUCCUCGGGGCUCCGGUCCCGGUUCCGGCCCGCCGCCUCGCCCCCGUUGGUCGGUCAGAUCUCUCUGUCCCUAGAGGCGGGGGGAUACAGGCUAGGGUUUGGGCGUGGGCGGGGAAUAGGCUGCUAUGGUGUCGGCAGCGGGGCGGCCACCGGCGGGGAGGGCGGGAUCCGCGCGGGGUGGCGGGAUUUGGGCAGGCGGUGGGCUCGGGGGAGGGCGGUGGCAGCGAAGCAGCAGGGAGGGGCUGGAGGAGAUGAAACGAAAGAGGUCGCGUGACACAGCGACAGCGUCGUCCAAUCCCCUCGCUGCCGAUUUAAAAAAAGGUAAUGAUAACUCCCGAACGUUCAGGAGUUAAGCAUGGCAACCCGAACGGGUUUAGAUGGCAAGUUUAGUUUGCGUGAGAUUAGAGAAACAUGGCAAUUUUCUGACAAAAGAAAUGAAAAAGGACGAAGUUGCCAUCCCCUAUCAACUAAAGUUGCCAUCCCUAUGAACUAAAGUUGCCAUGUAAAAACGUUCGGGAUGAAAUGCUCAAAAUCCGAACGUUCGGAAGUUAUUGGAUUCAAAAAAAAUCCCCUUGCUGCCAAUCGCUGGCCCGUUUCUUUUUUCGCCCAAUCGCUAGGUGAUGACGUGGCUAUCACGGGAAGGCGCCCUUGAUGCGUAGUCGAAUGGUUUUAAUUAAUAGGAAGCGAGUGCUUACUCUAGUUACUGAAUUAUGUACACCAAAUAAAGCCAUUUACACGUAGUUAAUGACAAAAAAAGUUGAUGUUUGCUACGCAAACGUGUAGUACAAAUUAAGAAGUGCAAGAUAAAAAAAAAUGCUGGUCCUUGAUUCGUUGUUGAUCGUCAGCAUGCCAUCAUCAAUUUGUAGUUAAUUAUCAUACAAAUUGGCUCUUUCAUAGAGUUGGAGGCUAGCUCCUUUGAUCAGCACGCGCUUAAACAUAAACAGCACGUAUAUGUUUUGUCUCCGGAGUUCAAUUCUUCAUCGGCCAGCAAAAAUGGCCCGACCGGGUAGAGGAAAAGGCAUGUUUGUUAGUACGCCUGGAGGAAAUGCCUUUGAUUAGGGCAUCUUCAACAGCGACCAGUAAAUUUCCUCCCGCGUUCGUCCACGGAUAGGGGAUCAGUCCGCGGAUACGGAUACAGGAAUCAUCUAUCUAACGCUGUCCGCGUAUAUUUCAAACACAUUUUUUUUAAAAAAAUAGGAUGAAAUUCAUGCAAACACAAUGGAUUUCAUACAAACCGGACAAAAAUGUUUACAUUUUGGACAUAUUUUUUUUACUAAAAACUCUACAGCCGGCGCCGGCGAAUAUCCACUCCGGCGACAUGGAACCCUUGACUAGUCUACUGCCGGCCGCAGCGGAUCUCCAAUGUCGUCCCCAUGUCCGGCAACUAUGAGCCCUAGAGGUAUAUGCUUCAGCGCAAAGAGCGGCUCGCCUCCCUACCGCUCAUCGGAGUGGAACAACCAGCUGAUGCUUCUGCCGAUGGAAAGGGUCCCUACGCUACACGGAUUAGAGUUGGUUUUGGGCUGGGAACGGCGGUGGCCUGCCAGAGGGCAAGACACCGACUGUGUAUGCUGGUGUCACCUGGUGUGGCAUUCGUGGGACCCAAGCGGCAGCGCCUCCUCGAUGAUGGCGGCGAGCGCGGACGUGUUGGACACCACCUCGUCGAUGUCCGUGCAGCCCGCUUCUUUCUCUGUAGGAAGGACGCGGUUACGCUCGCGUUGACAUCGGAUGACUCGGUCACAUGCACGGGAGGGGCGGUACGACAUGGCACCGCCAAUGGCAGCCAUGAUGCCCGCGCCAGCGUGCUCUCUCCCAGUGCCGACCUAGAGCAACUUGCCACUCCUCUGCUCGUGAACGGUGGGCUUGACGGGCCACCUAGCCAUUUUUUAUGCCAGACAACUCUUCUUCCUGCUCGUCAGAUGUCAUGGAUAAAACUGUUUAAGGAGGAAAAUGAUGAGUAGACGUGUGAUGCGGUUCUUGCCCAACAUCUGACAUUGUUUAAAUAGCGAGGGGACACGAGAGGAGCCAACUGGCGUUCUGUUUAAUGCCAACCGGCUCGCGAACGAACAUGUGGCUGGAGUAAUUAUCCUGGCACACACGCGGGUUUAAUGGUGGAAGGUGGGCAGUCUGCAGGAAUGAGGCGAGGAUGUGUGCUUAGCCGGCGUGCAGCAGGCGGCGCCCUCGGCCGGCGUGCUGCAUCCAUUGCGGAGGCAGUGAGAGGUCGCGUCCGCUCUGCAGCGCAUGAAUGCGGGCAGCUGGCGCAGAGCGGGAACGCGUGCGGGCGAGGGAGGAGGGGGUUUGGGCGGGUGGUCAGAAGAGGUCGUGGGUGUUGUCCGAACGCCUGCAAAGCCCCCCUCCAUGUUUGUCUCCAGUUUGCGGGAGAAAGUAUGUCCGAACCGUCUCCAAUGGACCAAUACAGGCCCGCAUUGGAUGGCACAACACGUCCGGACCAUGUGGUCCGGAUGGUUGUGGACAGUUUAAUUGAGGGUCGGCGUUGGAGAUACCUUAGAGUUUAUGAAUCCAUUGUGUUUUUCUAAUCAUAAAAAAGCACUUACAAUAAGUUAUAAGGAAAGACACGUUUAUAUGUUAGGUUCAGACUCCAGCUUUCGUUUUACAUAUGCUUUAUUCAUCCGACUGAUUCCAAUAGAGUGAGCCUAGCGUUGUUUUUCUGGAAACUCGCGGGAUAAGGAGACAUGCAUACACAUUCUUUCAAGCAAAUCACAUCCAUCCUUUUUAACUCAUUUUUCUUCUUUUAAUAAUAUAAUAGAUCAUUUAUAUUUUUAUCUGAAACAGUUGACGUGUAAUUUAUAUUGUAAUCUGAGGAUAAUGUUUGGAUUUUACUUUCAAAUAUAUUUGAAAUGGCCAUGAUGGAAUCACAUCCAUUUAUUUUAUUAUUAUUUGAAUUUGAUCCAAAAGAUAAAUAAUGAGUAGAGGUCAUGUCAACUUUUCUGAGAACUUUGCUAAUCAAAAUAUAAUUGUAUUUAAAAACAUCUAUUUUUUAGCACGCAUGAAAAAGAUAACACGUAUCUUUUCACACAUAAUGAACGGUUGUCAUAAGAACUCAUGCCAUGCCACAACCUCCCUCCGACCCUGCCAACAUUGUUGCAGCUGCACUCGCAAGCCUUAGCGUAGAUGAUAAUUUAUACAAUUUGCGUAAAACAAAAUAAGAUCUACAAAUGAAUAGAAGCUAGAACGUACAUUGGCAUGCACACACAUUGCAAGCCAUACUAAGCUGAUAAGUGUUAAUAACUUGUACAACAUAUACAACACUUAAGACAAGUAAAAGCAAUUUGAUGAGUCAUGGUCUAUCAAAGCCACAUUACUAGUCUAAUCCAUCUUAACAGGUCACACAUGAUUAAAAUCUUGUUUGUGUGCAAGUCAAGCUUAUCUAGUUUACAUGUAACAACUUGUAGAACAUUACAAAAUUUAUGUUUGCUAAUAACUUCUAGAACACUACAACACUUGACAUGUAAAAGGAAUUUGAUGAGUUAGCGUACUAAAGCAAGUUAUAUUACUAGUCUUAUCUACCUUAACAGGCCACACAAGAUUACAAACCAAGUUCUGUGCCAGCCAUGCUUAUCUAGAUUAUGCGUAACAAUUUGCAGAAAAUUACAAACUUAGUUUCAGAAAAAUAGGCAAUCUAGAUUAGUGUUUGAGCUGUAAAGUGAGUAAAAUGAGUCAUGCGUGUUAUCACACCUUUUUGGUUGUGGAAUGAUAGUGCAACAACAAGGAACUUUAAUGACCAGUUCAAGAAUACACUUGUAAGUAGUGCCACCGAACACAACAUACCAAAUUAUGAUUUUGAGAAGCAUCCAAGCACUUCCACACAAGCAAAUGCCAAUUGUGAAAGAGAUCAUGCCAUGGCAGCUAUAAAUAGGCCCGUAGCAUGACGAUCAUCCUUCCUCAUCCAUCAUUCUCAUAAGUAGAGCGCAUCAUUUAAGCCAAGCAAGCAGUGCUCAAUACAAAUCCACCAUGAAGACCUUUCUCAUCCUUGCCCUCCUUGCUAUUGUAGCAACCACCGCCACAAUUGCAGUUAGAGUUCCAGUGCCACAAUUGCAGCCACAAAAUCCAUCUCAGCAACAACCACAAGAGCAAGUUCCAUUGGUACAACAACAACAAUUUCCAGGGCAGCAACAACCAUUUCCACCACAACAGCCAUAUCCGCAGCCGCAACCAUUUCCAUCACAACAACCAUAUCUGCAGCUGCAACCAUUUCCGCAGCCGCAACUACCAUAUCCGCAGCCGCAACUACCAUAUCCGCAGCCGCAACCAUUUCGACCACAACAACCAUAUCCACAACCGCAACCACAGUAUUCGCAACCACAACAACCAAUUUCGCAGCAGCAGCAGCAGCAGCAACAACAACAACAACAAAAACAACAACAACAACAACAACAACAGAUCCUUCAACAAAUUUUGCAACAACAACUGAUUCCAUGCAGGGAUGUUGUAUUGCAACAACACAGCAUAGCGUAUGGAAGCUCACAAGUUUUGCAACAAAGUACUUACCAGCUGGUGCAACAAUUGUGUUGUCAGCAGCUGUGGCAGAUCCCCGAGCAGUCGCGGUGCCAAGCCAUCCACAAUGUUGUUCAUGCUAUUAUUCUGCAUCAACAGCAACAACAACAACAACAACAACAACAACCGUUGAGCCAGGUCUCCUUCCAACAGCCUCAACAACAAUAACCAUCAGGCCAGGGCUCCUUCCAGCCAUCUCAGCAAAACCCACAGGCCCAGGGCUCUGUCCAGCCUCAACAACUGCCCCAGUUUGAGGAAAUAAGGAACCUAGCGCUAGAGACGCUACCUGCAAUGUGCAAUGUCUAUAUCCCUCCAUAUUGCACCAUUGCUCCAGUUGGCAUCUUCGGUACUAACUGAGAAGAGAAGAACUCUAGUAGUAGAUAUAUGAUACACCGUUUUCUUAGUCCAUGGUUUGGUCGUUGUAGCGGUGAAAAAAUAAAGUGACAUGCACUAUCAUGUAAGAACCCGAACUAUACUAGUUCAAACAUGGGAAUAAAAGACAAACACAUGUCUUGUCUACAUAUGAUUGUUUGUUUGAGUUCCACUCAUGUGCCCACUCACAAGUUCACCCCUAAUUAUAUAUAUUAUGCAUUAAGUAGAUAUUUAUGUUGCAUUAAUCUAAAGAUAACAAAAUGAGUCUGAAAUUUGAAUUAAAUUGAAG